RNAcentral lists this ribosomal RNA (246 nucleotides) under Escherichia coli. RNAcentral describes it as "partial 23S ribosomal RNA". It matches the Rfam family "Bacterial large subunit ribosomal RNA", at positions 1271 to 1521 of the family's 2925-position model. Lineage: Bacteria; Pseudomonadati; Pseudomonadota; Gammaproteobacteria; Enterobacterales; Enterobacteriaceae. The record is from RNAcentral.
UGCUGGAGGUAUCAGAAGUGCGAAUGCUGACAUAAGUAACGAUAAAGCGGGUGAAAAGCCCGCUCGCCGGAAGACCAAGGGUUCCUGUCCAACGUUAAUCGGGGCAGGGUGAGUCGACCCCUAAGGCGAGGCCGAAAGGCGUAGUCGAUGGGAAACAGGUUAAUAUUCCUGUACUUGGUGUUACUGCGAAGGGGGGACGGAGAAGGCUAUGUUGGCCGGGCGACGGUUGUCCCGGUUUAAGCGUGU